GGGGUUGUGGCUCAGUGGUAGAGCACUUGCCUAGCAUGUAUGAGGCACUGGGUUCAAUUCUCAACACCA
This 69-nucleotide transfer RNA is filed under the name Marmota monax (woodchuck). It matches the Rfam family "tRNA". From Rfam's summary of the family: Transfer RNA (tRNA) molecules are approximately 80 nucleotides in length. Their secondary structure includes four short double-helical elements and three loops (D, anti-codon, and T loops). Further hydrogen bonds mediate the characteristic L-shaped molecular structure. tRNAs have two regions of fundamental functional importance: the anti-codon, which is responsible for specific mRNA codon recognition, and the 3' end, to which the tRNAs corresponding amino acid is attached (by aminoacyl-tRNA synthetases). tRNAs cope with the degeneracy of the genetic code in two manners: having more than one tRNA (with a specific anti-codon) for a particular amino acid; and 'wobble' base-pairing, i.e. permitting non-standard base-pairing at the 3rd anti-codon position. The record is from Rfam by way of RNAcentral. Lineage: Eukaryota; Metazoa; Chordata; Mammalia; Rodentia; Sciuridae.